GCCGAUAGCUCAGCUGGGAGAGUGCCGCGUUCGCAAUGCGGAGGUCGGGAGUUCGAUCCUCCGAAGGU
This 68-nucleotide transfer RNA is filed under the name Chitinimonas sp. BJB300. RNAcentral describes it as "tRNA-Ala". Lineage: Bacteria; Pseudomonadati; Pseudomonadota; Betaproteobacteria; Neisseriales; Chitinibacteraceae. The record is from RNAcentral.